ACGCUCGACACCUACGGGNGGCAGCAGUGGGGAAUAUUGCACAAUGGGGGAAACCCGUGAUGCAGCGACGCCGCGUGAGCGAAGAAGUAUUUCGGUAUGUAAAGCUCUAUCAGCAGGGAAGAAACUGACGGUACCUGACUAAGAAGCACCGGCUAAAUACGUACCAGCAGCCGCGGUAAUCUGAGCGGGCUGGCAAGGC
RNAcentral lists this ribosomal RNA (199 nucleotides) under uncultured bacterium. Its description in RNAcentral is "partial 16S ribosomal RNA". It matches the Rfam family "Bacterial small subunit ribosomal RNA", at positions 328 to 539 of the family's 1533-position model. The record is from RNAcentral.